UGGGGAAUAUUGCACAAUGGGCGAAAGCCUGAUGCAGCAACGCCGCGUGCGGGAUGACGGCCUUCGGGUUGUAAACCGCUUUCAGCAGGGACGAAGGUUUUCUGACGGUACCUGCAGAAGAAGCACCGGCUAACUACGUGCCAGCAGCCGCGGUGAUACGUAGGGUGCGAGCGUUGUCCGGAAUUAUUGGGCGUAAAGAGCUUGUAGGCGGUCCGUUGCGUCGGAAGUGAAAACUCAGGGCUUAACCCUGAGCCUGCUUUCGAUACGGGCGGACUUGAGGGAUGUAGGGGAGAACGGAAUUCCUGGUGGAGCGGUGGAAUGCGCAGAUAUCAGGAGGAACACCAGUGGCGAAGGCGGUUCUCUGGACAUUUCCUGACGCUGAGAAGCGAAAGCGUGGGGAGCAAACAGGCUUAGAUACCCUGGUAGUCGACGCCGUAAACGGU
This 443-nucleotide ribosomal RNA is filed under the name uncultured bacterium. RNAcentral's name for it is "partial 16S ribosomal RNA". It matches the Rfam family "Bacterial small subunit ribosomal RNA", at positions 355 to 810 of the family's 1533-position model. The record is from RNAcentral.